Molecule: unclassified non-coding RNA, 193 nt
Filed under: soil metagenome
Description: partial contains 5.8S ribosomal RNA, internal transcribed spacer 2, and large subunit ribosomal RNA
Source: RNAcentral
AACGCACGAGACCUGCGGACCUGCGGAGGGAUCAUUACCGAGUUAUCCAACUCCCAACCCCUGUGAGUUAUACCUUUAAUUGUUGCUUCGGCGGGACUUCGCGCCCGCCGGGGACCCAAACCUUCUGAAUUUUUUAAUAAGUAUCUUCUGAGUGGUUAAAAAAAUGAAUCAAAACUUUCAGCAACGGAUCUCU